Long non-coding RNA from Pteronotus mesoamericanus, 854 nucleotides. RefSeq lists it as uncharacterized. The record is from RefSeq and is a predicted model, not a curated record. The transcript has 3 exons. NCBI's taxonomy places the organism in Eukaryota, Metazoa, Chordata, Mammalia, Chiroptera, Mormoopidae.
AGGAGAUGGGCCGGGCCGGGCCGGGUGGCGCAGCCGGUGGGCUUCGUAAGGGUCCAUGGGAGUGGACGAUCCAGCGCCAUACCAGAUCAGAGGCAGGAUCAGGGUGCACGACCUAACACCACAGAUCCUCCAGUUCAGGUGGACGCUCCCGCUCUGAGAGAGCUAACGGUAACCGGGGCGAAGUGACUGAGGUGUGCCUUUGGUCUGAACAACUGGGAUGAUGAUGAAAUCCGAGCAUCAGUGCUGGCUGUGUCCCAACAAGAACACCGAGACAGUAUGAAGAAAAACAAAGUGCACAGAGAUCCACCCUCAGACAAGAGUUGAUGGAGACCCAGAGACUGAAGACCAUAUCCCAAUCUCUCCACUCCUGCCACCUCAGCUUCUUUGGCUUUCUCCCUCUUCCCUUCUUCCUCAUCCCCACUUCCCUCUUGUCUACCCGUGUCCCCUCUCAUGGCUGCCACCACCAUCAUCACCUGUCUCUACACCAGCUGACGUGCCCUGAUGCCCCCUGCACAACACCAUCCCUGUAUUGCAGAGGGCACUCAGGCAGGGAUGCUGAAGGUUGUACCUGCAGUGAACUUUACAGAACAGAAAUGCAAAAAUGAAGGAAGAUAAAGUCCCCUAAAGCAAAAUCCCAAACUGGAAAUCUAACAUACAAGAUCGGUACACCAAGAAGUAAUGUGACAUACUGCCCUGGCUGGUGUGACUCAAUGGAUUGAACACUGGCCUGCAAACGAAAGGAUCGCUGGUUCGAUUCCCAGUCAGGGCACAUGCCUGGGUUGCUGGCCAGGUUCCUAGUAGCGGGGCACUUGAGAGGCAACUACACAUUGAUGUUUCUCCCCCCUCUCCCUUCU